AGUCGAGCGGAACGAGAUAUCUGAACCUUCGGGGAACGAUAACGGCGUCGAGCGGAGGACGGGUGAGUAAUGCCUAGGAAAUUGCCCUGAUGUGGGGGAUAACCAUUGGAAACGAUGGCUAAUACCGCAUGAUGCCUACGGGCCAAAGAGGGGGACCUUCGGGCCUCUCGCGUCAGGAUAUGCCUAGGUGGGAUUAGCUAGUUGGUGAGGUAAGGGCUCACCAAGGCGACGAUCCCUAGCUGGUCUGAGAGGAUGAUCAGCCACACUGGAACUGAGACACGGUCCAGACUCCUACGGGAGGCAGCAGUGGGGAAUAUUGCACAAUGGGCGCAAGCCUGAUGCAGCCAUGCCGCGUGUGUGAAGAAGGCCUUCGGGUUGUAAAGCACUUUCAGUCGUGAGGAAGGUAGUGUAGUUAAUAGCUGCAUUAUUUGACGUUAGCGACAGAAGAAGCACCGGCUAACUCCGUGCCAGCAGCCGCGGUAAUACGGAGGGUGCGAGCGUUAAUCGGAAUUACUGGGCGUAAAGCGCAUGCAGGUGGUUUGUUAAGUCAGAUGUGAAAGCCCGGGGCUCAACCUCGGAAUUGCAUUUGAAACUGGCAGACUAGAGUACUGUAGAGGGGGGUAGAAUUUCAGGUGUAGCGGUGAAAUGCGUAGAGAUCUGAAGGAAUACCGGUGGCGAAGGCGGCCCCCUGGACAGAUACUGACACUCAGAUGCGAAAGCGUGGGGAGCAAACAGGAUUAGAUACCCUGGUAGUCCACGCCGUAAACGAUGUCUACUUGGAGGUUGUGGCCUUGAGCCGUGGCUUUCGGAGCUAACGCGUUAAGUAGACCGCCUGGGGAGUACGGUCGCAAGAUUAAAACUCAAAUGAAUUGACGGGGGCCCGCACAAGCGGUGGAGCAUGUGGUUUAAUUCGAUGCAACGCGAAGAACCUUACCUACUCUUGACAUCCAGAGAACUUUCCAGAGAUGGAUUGGUGCCUUCGGGAACUCUGAGACAGGUGCUGCAUGGCUGUCGUCAGCUCGUGUUGUGAAAUGUUGGGUUAAGUCCCGCAACGAGCGCAACCCUUAUCCUUGUUUGCCAGCGAGUAAUGUCGGGAACUCCAGGGAGACUGCCGGUGAUAAACCGGAGGAAGGUGGGGACGACGUCAAGUCAUCAUGGCCCUUACGAGUAGGGCUACACACGUGCUACAAUGGCGCAUACAGAGGGCGGCCAACUUGCGAAAGUGAGCGAAUCCCAAAAAGUGCGUCGUAGUCCGGAUUGGAGUCUGCAACUCGACUCCAUGAAGUCGGAAUCGCUAGUAAUCGUGGAUCAGAAUGCCACGGUGAAUACGUUCCCGGGCCUUGUACACACCGCCCGUCACACCAUGGGAGUGGGCUGCAAAAGAAGUAGGUAGUUUAACCUACGGGGGACGCUU
This 1414-nucleotide ribosomal RNA is filed under the name Vibrio parahaemolyticus. RNAcentral describes it as "bacterial SSU rRNA". It matches the Rfam family "Bacterial small subunit ribosomal RNA". Lineage: Bacteria; Pseudomonadati; Pseudomonadota; Gammaproteobacteria; Vibrionales; Vibrionaceae. The record is from RNAcentral.